This 259-nucleotide long non-coding RNA is filed under the name Gossypium barbadense (sea-island cotton). RNAcentral's name for it is "long non-coding RNA (GBAR_LNC009658)". The record is from RNAcentral. Lineage: Eukaryota; Viridiplantae; Streptophyta; Magnoliopsida; Malvales; Malvaceae.
AGUUUUUCACUUUUCAUAUAUUUAAAAUUUAAUCUCUAUACUUUUAUUUUCAGGAAUUUAGUUUCUAUACGUUUCGAAUUUAAAAAUUUAAGUCAAUUUGUUAAUACUGCUAAAAUUCUUUUGUGCUAGAGUGACAUUUUGAAAAAAAUAAAGUAAACUUAGUAUUCAUAUAACAAAAAAAUUAACAUUGUAACGGAUCUAAAUUUAAUAAAAAAAUUUAACGGUGCUAACAAUUCUUAAAAAUUUAUAUAAUCAUUUU